RNAcentral lists this ribosomal RNA (465 nucleotides) under uncultured bacterium. RNAcentral's name for it is "partial 16S ribosomal RNA". It matches the Rfam family "Bacterial small subunit ribosomal RNA", at positions 338 to 795 of the family's 1533-position model. The record is from RNAcentral.
CCUACGGGUGGCAGCAGUGGGGAAUAUUGCGCAAUGGGCGAAAGCCUGACGCAGCGACGCCGCGUGAGGGAUGAAGGUCUUCGGAGCGUAAACCUCUGUCAGCAGGGAAGAACGGUCACUGUGCUAAUCAGCAGUGAAUUGACGGUACCUGCAAAGGAAGCACCGGCUAACUCCGUGCCAGCAGCCGCGGUAAUACGGAGGGUGCGAGCGUUAAUCGGAAUUACUGGGCGUAAAGCGCUCGUAGGCGGUAUGGCAAGUCAAGGGGGAAAUCCCCGCGCUUAACGUGGGAACUGCCGUUGAAACUGGCAAACUGGAGUGUGUGAGAGGAUAGUGGAAUUCCAGGUGUAGGAGUGAAAUCCGUAGAUAUCUGGAGGAACAUCAGUGGCGAAGGCGACUAUCUGGCACAUAACUGACGCUGAGGAGCGAAAGCGUGGGUAGCAAACAGGAUUAGAUACCCGUGUAGUC